GCCAGACUCCUACGGGAGGCAGCAGUGGGGAAUAUUGGGCAAUGGGCGCAAGCCUGACCCAGCAAUGCCGCGUGAAGGAAGAAGGCUUUCGGGUUGUAAACUUCUUUGACAGGGGAAGAGCAGAAGACGGUACCCUGAAAACAAGCCACGGCUAACUACGUGCCAGCAGCCGCGGUAAUACGUAGGUGGCAAGCGUUGUCCGGAAUUACUGGGUGUAAAGGGAGCGCAGGCGGGAAGCCAAGUCAGCUGUGAAAACUGCGGGCUUAACUUGUAGACUGCAGUUGAAACUGGUUUUCUUGAGUGAAGUAGAGGUUGGCGGAAUUCCGAGUGUAGCGGUGAAAUGCGUAGAUAUUCGGAGGAACACCGGUGGCGAAGGCGGCCAACUGGGCUUUAACUGACGCUGAGGCUCGAAAGUGUGGGGAGCAAACAGGAUUAGAUACCCGCGUAGU
This 449-nucleotide ribosomal RNA is filed under the name uncultured bacterium. Its description in RNAcentral is "bacterial SSU rRNA". It matches the Rfam family "Bacterial small subunit ribosomal RNA", at positions 330 to 794 of the family's 1533-position model. The record is from RNAcentral.